AGCGAACGCUGGCGGCAGGCUUAACACAUGCAAGUCGAACGCUCCGCACGGGGAGUGGCAGACGGGUGAGUAACACGUGGGAACGUACCCUUUGGUUCGGAAUAACUUGGGGAAACUCAAGCUAAUACCGGAUAAGCCCUUAUGGGGAAAGGUUUACUGCCGAAGGAUCGGCCUGCGUCUGAUUAGCUAGUUGGUGAGGUAAUGGCUCACCAAGGCGACGAUCAGUAGCUGGUCUGAGAGGAUGAUCAGCCACACUGGGACUGAGACACGGCCCAGACUCCUACGGGAGGCAGCAGUGGGGAAUAUUGGACAAUGGGGUCAACCCUGAUCCAGCCAUGCCGCGUGAGUGAUGAAGGCCUUAGGGUUGUAAAGCUCUUGUACCCGGGACGAUAAUGACUGUACCGGGAGAAUAAGCCCCGGCUAACUUCGUGCCAGCAGCCGCCGUAA
RNAcentral lists this ribosomal RNA (447 nucleotides) under uncultured bacterium. RNAcentral describes it as "partial 16S ribosomal RNA". It matches the Rfam family "Bacterial small subunit ribosomal RNA", at positions 29 to 523 of the family's 1533-position model. The record is from RNAcentral.